UAAAUGUUUACUGAUUUUCUGAGACUCCUACCCUUUACACCUGUCCUCUUCUACCCUUUACAUCUGUCAGGCAGAUUCUUUCCAACCAGCUUUUCAAUGUUAGUCUGACUAGACCAAGGUAAAGCAAUCCCCAUGCGAAACGCACUGAAAGCUUUCUUCUCUCCUCUUUCUCCUCAAGGCUGUGAAGUGGAAACCAGGGAUACCAAAUUGGCAGGGACCCUGCUGUGGACCCUACUGUUCUUCAAGAGAUACAAGACUUAGACAGAAACGAAAGGAGCUUUUUCGUUUCCUCAGACAGGACAACUGAAUCAGUGAAUGAAGCCGGCAAAGUAUUGAAGAGCAGGAUUGACCUUCAGCCAAAUAUUUCAGAAUAUAUGCAGAGCGCAAUGUGCWUCAAGCUGUGUGAUUCAAUGGGAAGGAAGCAUACCGCUAUAGGAGGUCAUCAAGAAAGUAAGAUAAAACAGCACUCUGAAAGGAACAACAGCAGGACAUCACUUAAAAUAUUAUCCAG
Molecule: long non-coding RNA, 511 nt
Filed under: Dromaius novaehollandiae (emu)
Lineage: Eukaryota; Metazoa; Chordata; Aves; Casuariiformes; Dromaiidae
Description: lncRNA (ENSDNVG00000006342.1)
Source: RNAcentral